UACAGAGGGUGCAAGCGUUUAAUCGGAAUUACUGGGCGUAAAGCGCGCGUAGGUGGUUCGUUAAGUUGGAUGUGAAAUCCCCGGGCUCAACCUGGGAACUGCAUUCAAAACUGACGAGCUAGAGUAUGGUAGAGGGUGGUGGAAUUUCCUGUGUAGCGGUGAAAUGCGUAGAUAUAGGAAGGAACACCAGUGGCGAAGGCGACCACCUGGACUGAUACUGACACUGAGGUGCGAAAGCGUGGGGAGCAAACAGG
RNAcentral lists this ribosomal RNA (254 nucleotides) under uncultured bacterium. Its description in RNAcentral is "partial 16S ribosomal RNA". It matches the Rfam family "Bacterial small subunit ribosomal RNA", at positions 524 to 776 of the family's 1533-position model. The record is from RNAcentral.